AAUGGCUUACCAAGGCGACGAUCAGCAGCUGGUCUGAGAGGAUGAUCAACCACACUGGGACUGAGACACGACCCAGACUCCUACGGGAGGCAACAGUGGGGAAUUUUCCGCAAUGGGAUAAGCAUAUGAGGAAUAAGCAUCGGCUAACUCUGUGCCAGCAGCUGCGGUAAGACAGAGGAUGCAAGCGUUAUCCAGAAUGAUUGGGCAUAAAGCGUCUGUAGGUGACUUUUCAAGUCCGCCGUCAAAUCCUAUGGCUCAACCCUUGACAGGCGGUGGAAACUACCAAGCUCGAGUAUGGUAGGGGCAGAGGGAAUUUCCGGUGGAGUGAUGAAAUGCAUUGAGAUUGGAAAGAACACCAAUGGUGAAAGCACUUUGCUGGGAUGACAAUGACACUGAGAGAUGAAAGCUAGGGGAGCAAAUGGGAUUAUAUACCCCAGUAGUCCUAGCCGCAAACGAUGGAUACUAAGUGCUAUGCGUAUCGACCCACACAGUGUUGUAGCCAAGGUGUUAAGUAUCCCUCCUGGGGAGUAUGUUCACAAGAAUGAAACUCAAAGGAAUUGAUGGGGGCCUGCAAAAGCGGUGGAGCAUGUGGUUCAAUUUGAUGCAAAGCGAAGAACCUUACCAGGGCUUGACAUGCCGUGAAUCCUCCCAAAAGAGAGGAGUUCCUUCGGGAAUGCAGACACAGGUGGUGCAUGGCUUUCGUCAGCUCGUGUCGUAAGGUGUUGGGUUAAGUCCCGCAAUGAGUGCAACCCUCGUGUUUAGUUGCCAACAUUGAGUUAAGAACCCUGAACAGACUGUCGGUGAUAAGCCGGAGGAAGGUGAGGAUGACAUCAAGUCAUCAUGCCCCUUACGCCUUGGGUGACACACGUGCUACAAUGACCGGGACAAAGGGUUGCGACCCCGCGAGGGCAAGCUAACCUCAAAAACCUGGCCUCAGUUUGAAUUGCAGGCUGCAACUCGCCUGCAUGAAGCCGAAAUCGCUAGUAAUUUCCAGUCAGCCAUACGGCGGUGAAUCCGUUCCUGGGCCUUGUACACACCUCCCGUCACACUAUGGGAGUUGGCCAUGCCCCAAGUCAUUACCUUAACCGCAAGGAGGGGGAUGUUGAAGGCUGGGCUAGUGACUGGAGUGAAUUUGUAACAAGGUAGUCGUACUGGAAGGUGCGGCUGGAUCACCUCCUUU
Molecule: non-coding RNA, 1180 nt
Organism: Picea glauca (white spruce)
Lineage: Eukaryota; Viridiplantae; Streptophyta; Pinopsida; Pinales; Pinaceae
Source: Rfam